Molecule: ribosomal RNA, 387 nt
Filed under: Serenius kuekenthali
Lineage: Eukaryota; Metazoa; Arthropoda; Malacostraca; Decapoda; Xanthidae
Description: partial 12S ribosomal RNA
Source: RNAcentral
UUAGAUACCCUAUUAUACUAACAGAAACCUGAAUUAUUAAUAGAUAUAAUCUUUAAAUUUGGAGAAUUUGGCGGUUAUUUAGUCUUGUCAGAGGAACCUGUUUAUGGAUCGAUAUACCACGUAAGAUUUUACUUAUUUUAAUUAGUUUAUAUACCGUCAUUGUCAGAUGAUUUUUAAAAAAUUAGGAAUCAUUAAAGUUUAUAAAAUAACAAGUCAAAUUAGAUCAAGGUGUAGCUUAUAAAUAAGUUUAAAUGGGUUACAAUAGAAUUUAUUUAUUACGGAGUAGAUAUAAGAGAAAAAUUACUAUGAAGGAGGAUUUGAUUGUAAUAAGAUUUUAAUAAGUAAAAAAGAUAUAAGCUCUAAAUUAUGUACAUAUCGCCCGUCGCU